Molecule: non-coding RNA, 463 nt
Filed under: Schistosoma mansoni
Lineage: Eukaryota; Metazoa; Platyhelminthes; Trematoda; Strigeidida; Schistosomatidae
Description: Eukaryotic large subunit ribosomal RNA
Rfam family: Eukaryotic large subunit ribosomal RNA
Source: Rfam by way of RNAcentral
CGGGGAAAGAAGACCCUGUUGAGCUUGACUCUAGUCCGACUUUGUGAGGAGACAUGAUGGAUGUAGUAUAGGUGGGAGCUGGGUGCUUCGGUGUCCAACGCAAAUGAAAUACCACUGCUAUCAUUGUUUCUUUACUUAUUCAGUGAAACGGGAACGAAAUUGUAUUUUGGUUCAAAGCACAUUUCGGGGUGCGUGGUCUAUCGCUGCGUGCUUCGAUAUCUUGGUCAUGUCAGAUGAGUCGUGGUGCGAAUUGCGGUGUUUGAGUUUGAUGUGAUGUGCGACCCGUUCUGAAGACCAUGUCAGGCGUGGCCUAUCGAUCCUUUUGAUGUUAUUUUCGGAGUUUGAAGCAAGAGGUGUCAGAAAAGUUACCACAGGGUUGGGAGGCAAAAUCCGACUCACACGUCCUCGUCGUGCCUCCUGGAUCAUGGGACUGAUUCCAUGAACUAACGUGAGCGGUAACCCG